CGCCGUUCUCAGGGCGGGGUGAAAGUCCCCACCGGCGGUAUGCGGCUUGGCCGCGAGCCCGCGAGCGCCUUCCCCGGAAGGGUCAGCAGACCAGGUGCGAUGCCUGGGCCGACGGUCACAGUCCGGAUGAGAGAGAACGUGC
RNAcentral lists this non-coding RNA (142 nucleotides) under Mesorhizobium sp. Root554. RNAcentral describes it as "FMN riboswitch aptamer (RFN element)". It matches the Rfam family "FMN riboswitch aptamer (RFN element)". From Rfam's summary of the family: The RFN element is a highly conserved domain that is found frequently in the 5'-untranslated regions of prokaryotic mRNAs that encode for flavin mononucleotide (FMN) biosynthesis and transport proteins. Lineage: Bacteria; Pseudomonadati; Pseudomonadota; Alphaproteobacteria; Hyphomicrobiales; Phyllobacteriaceae. RNAcentral also lists the same sequence under 1 other name. The record is from Rfam by way of RNAcentral.